Non-coding RNA from Cinara cedri, 230 nucleotides. The record is from the annotation of a GenBank genome assembly. Lineage: Eukaryota; Metazoa; Arthropoda; Insecta; Hemiptera; Aphididae.
CAGCAUAUUGAAACAGUAUGAAUUUAUGGUGACAAAUAUUUCCCACAACUAUUAUCGUAAAAUGUACCCGUACUGUUGCCAUAUAAUAACUUUUUACAUAAUUACGAUACGCAGUUGAAGAAUCUACAGAUAAAUUAUUGUAAACUGACUAGAUAGCUAACUCUACGAGCAAAUCCCACGGAACUUAUAAAGUUAUAACUACACGGACCUCGCACAGAGAUAUAAAAUUU